RNAcentral lists this ribosomal RNA (390 nucleotides) under uncultured bacterium. Its description in RNAcentral is "bacterial SSU rRNA". It matches the Rfam family "Bacterial small subunit ribosomal RNA", at positions 28 to 412 of the family's 1533-position model. The record is from RNAcentral.
GACGAACGCUGACGGUGUGCUUUAGACAUGCAAGUCGAACGCGAAAGCCCUUCGGGUUAGUAGAGUGGCGAACGGGUGAGUAACACGUGGGCAAUCUGCCCCUCGCAGGGGGACAACCGGAGGAAACUCCGGCUAAUACCCCGUACGCUUGCUGGACCGCAUGGUCCGGCAAGGAAAGGUAGCUUCGGCCAUCCGGCGAGGGAUGAGCCCGCGGUGCAUUAGCUAGUUGGUGAGGUAACGGCUCACCAAGGCAACGAUGCAUAGCUGGUCUGAGAGGAUGAUCAGCCACACUGGGACUGAGACACGGCCCAGACUCCUACGGGAGGCAGCAGUCGGGAAUCUUGCGCAAUGGGCGAAAGCCUGACGCAGCAACACCGUGUGAGCGACGAA